Molecule: ribosomal RNA, 341 nt
Filed under: uncultured eukaryote
Lineage: Eukaryota
Description: partial 18S ribosomal RNA
Rfam family: Eukaryotic small subunit ribosomal RNA
Source: RNAcentral
CCCUUAGAUGUCCGGGGCCGCACGCGCGCUACACUGAAGGAAUCAGCGUGGCUUUCUCCCUGACCCGAAAGGGUUGGGAAACCCGUUGAAUCUCCUUCGUGAUAGGGAUUGGGGCUUGAAAUUGUUCCCCAUGAACGAGGAAUUCCCAGUAAGCGCGAGUCAUAAGCUCGCGUUGAUUACGUCCCUGCCCUUUGUACACACCGCCCGUCGCUUCUACCGAUUGGACGCUGCGGUGAAGACCUGGGAUUGAGAAGGGGGGUUUGGAGGUUUUCGGAUUUCCAGCCCCUCGUCCCGAGAACUCGUCUGAACCCCAUCGUCUAGAGGAAGAAGAAGUCGUAACA